Molecule: long non-coding RNA, 1485 nt
Filed under: Struthio camelus australis
Lineage: Eukaryota; Metazoa; Chordata; Aves; Struthioniformes; Struthionidae
Description: lncRNA (ENSSCUG00000015194.1)
Source: RNAcentral
UUUUUGUACCCUUAAAUCCUGUGGCUUAUUUGUAUUGCUAUUAUGCAUAGGAACCUUAGCUGUGAACAAGACUCCAUUGUGCAUCCGGUUUAUAAAUACUGGAGGAAAAGAAAGUCUUCCCCCAUCGGGAGUCUAGGCAUACGAUGAGAGACGUUCAGUACGCUUCUGUGGAGAGCGCAAGCAAACAAAAGGAAAAAACGGAUCCCUCGGAGAACUGGUAGUCUUAGAAUGCCCAUCAUUCCCUUGUGCACCUUGUACAAAGUCUUUUGUAGGGCAUUGCAAUGAAAGGCUCAUAUUAAAGACAAGGAGGUGCUUUUGCAGAAGUUUAUGGAAGCUCCUGCUAAGGGCCCAGGUCAGGUGCAGAUAAAAUAUGAAGAUCCUUAUUUGAAGACGUAAUAUGUAAGGAGUAAAGGCUGAUCGAAGAUAGGAUCUAUUCUCAGGGUAGUGAAUGAGAAAUGAGAGGUCAGGUGGCAAAAACCUCAGAAAACAGUGAAGGAGAUUUCCCAUGAAGUUAUGUGAUGUUAUAAGAGACUGGGAACUCUUGGGUCAUUGCGGGGGUUGUCCGUUUACUGCUUUGCCAAUAUUCAGUGCAGUUUGCAGUACUGCCAUUUCUCUUUAAUUUAGACUACUUGUUUGUCUGUUCAUUUACCUUAGGCUUUAUGAAUUAGCAUGCAAAUUGUAGCACAUACUGAUAUUUAACUUUCUGUUGUGUAUUUAGCUUAUCUAUUUAUUUCCCAGAACGCUCAGCUCUUUCUACGUUGUUAAGGUCAGUGGUCGUUAGUUACAUCUAUCCAUCUCGUCUUAACUCUGGACAGGCCGACAUGAAGCUAUUUGUUUAACCAUUUCGGUAUCCCCGUCACCCUCUUGCCGUUGAUUGAGUCUGCUGAAGAGACGUACAUCUAUGUGGCCACACUUGAUUUGUUGCAGGUCAUUUUUUUUCCCCCGUACAAUUCUUCCUUGUCAUCGGUGAACUGCUUCAUCUCGGCGCUGCGCUCUCCCUUCAGCUCAUGUGUUGACCUCCGCCGUUGCCAGACGCACCAGAUGGAAGCAAAGUUGUGUGCCCAUUGUGCCACCGAUUGCAUCGCAGCCCAGGACACUGUGUGCCAGCUGGCUCCUAAGCCUACCCAUGUGGUUUAACCGUGCUGACUUUGGAUGUAAAUCCACUCAGAAACCCUUCUUGUUGACAGGUACGUCUGAAAAAAACCUGGAGACAUGGAGUGAAAUUUUACUCGGCAGAUGGCAAUAUCACUUUUAGUACUGAGCUCAGGAGAGCUAUUCCAUCAUAUACUCGCUUUUAAAUAUAUUACAUAAAUACACUGGGACUGUGACCUUUUUGUUUCCUUAACAGAGCUGUAUUGGAAGUUGGCUAUAUAUCCUUCUCUCUAGAUGGUAAGAUAAUACAAUUCCUAUGUAUCUUCAGUCAUUCAUGCACUAUAUUGCAUAUGUAAUUAAAGCAUUAAUAAAAAUAACAGCAGGAAGAGUUCA